Molecule: unclassified non-coding RNA, 243 nt
Filed under: Metapochonia sp.
Lineage: Eukaryota; Fungi; Ascomycota; Sordariomycetes; Hypocreales; Clavicipitaceae
Description: partial contains 5.8S ribosomal RNA, internal transcribed spacer 2, and large subunit ribosomal RNA
Rfam family: 5.8S ribosomal RNA (bases 1-52)
Source: RNAcentral
AACGCAUAUUGCGCCCCCUGGUAUUCCGGGGGGCAUGCCUGUCCGAGCGUCAUUGCACCCCUCAAGCGUAGCUUGGUAUUGGGCCCUCGCCCCCGUGGCGUGCCCGAAAAAUAGUGGCGGUCCGGAGCGACUUUAAGCGUAGUAAAUAUCUCCCGCUCUAAAGCUCGCCCCGUGGCUGGCCAGUCAACCCCCAUUAUUUCAAUAAUUGACCUCGGAUCAGGUAGGGACACCCGCUGAACUUAA